AAUGAACGCUGGCGGCAGGCCUAACACAUGCAAGUCGAACGGAUCCUUCGGGAUUAGUGGCGGACGGGUGAGUAACGCGUGGGAACAUACCCUUUGGUACGGAAUAGCCUCGGGAAACUGGGAGUAAUACCGUACGUGGUUGAGAGACGGACGAUUUAUCGCCAAAGGAUUAGCCCGCGUUGGAAGAGGUAGUUGGUGGGGUAAUGGCCUACCAAGCCGACGGUCCAUAGCUGGUUUGAGAGGCUGAUCAGCCACACUGGGACUGAGACACGGCCCAGACUCCUACGGGAGGCAGCAGUGGGGAAUCUUACACAAUGGGGGAAGCCCUGAUCUAGCCAUGCCGCGUGAACGAUGAAGGCCUUAGGGUUGUAAAGAUCUUUCAGGUGGGAAGAUAAUGACUGUACCACCAGAAGAAGCCCCGGCUAACUCCGUGCCAGCAGCCGCAGUAA
RNAcentral lists this ribosomal RNA (449 nucleotides) under uncultured bacterium. Its description in RNAcentral is "partial 16S ribosomal RNA". It matches the Rfam family "Bacterial small subunit ribosomal RNA", at positions 29 to 523 of the family's 1533-position model. The record is from RNAcentral.